This 488-nucleotide ribosomal RNA is filed under the name uncultured bacterium. RNAcentral describes it as "partial 16S ribosomal RNA". It matches the Rfam family "Bacterial small subunit ribosomal RNA", at positions 28 to 507 of the family's 1533-position model. The record is from RNAcentral.
GACGAACGCUGGCGGCGUGCUUAACACAUGCAAGUCGAACGGACAGGCGCUGCUUUUGUGGGGUGCUCGUGUGGCGAACGGGUGAGUAAAACGUGAGUAACCUGUCCUUGUCUGUGGGAUAAAUUCUGGAGACUGGGGCUCAUACCGGAUAGGAGCUUCUGCUGCAUGGUGUGGGAUGGUAAAAUACGGCGGUUGGGGAUGGUAUAGCGCUGUAUCAGCUAGUUGAUAAGGUAGUGGCUUACACAGGCUUUGACGGAUAGCCGACCUGAGAGGGUGAUUGGCCACACUGGAACUGAGACACGGUCAAGACUCCUACGGGAGGCAGCAGUAGGGAAUCGUCCGCAAUGGGCGAAAGCCUGACGGAGCAACGCCGCGUGAGUGAUGAAGGUCUUCGGAUCGUAAAACUCUGUUAUUAGGGAAGAACAUAUGUGUAAGUAACUGUGCACAGCUUGACGGUACCUAAUCAGAAAGCCACGGCUAACUACGUG